Molecule: ribosomal RNA, 264 nt
Filed under: uncultured bacterium
Lineage: Bacteria
Description: partial 16S ribosomal RNA
Rfam family: Bacterial small subunit ribosomal RNA
Source: RNAcentral
UUUUAGUGGCGGACGGGCGAGUAACGCGUGGGUAACCUGCCUCACACUGGGGGAUAACACUUAGAAAUAGGUGCUAAUACCGCAUAAGCGCACGGGACUGCAUGGUCUUGUGUGAAAAACUCCGGUGGUGUGAGAUGGACCCGCGUCUGAUUAGCUGGUUGGCGGGGUAACGGCCCACCAAGGCGACGAUCAGUAGCCGGCCUGAGAGGGUGGACGGCCACAUUGGGACUGAGACACGGCCCAAACUCCUACGGGAGGCAGCAG